GACAACGUGGCCGAGUGGUCUAAGGCGUGUGACUCGAAAUCACUUCUCCUAUGGAGGCGUAGGUUCAAAUCCUGCCGUUGUCG
Molecule: transfer RNA, 83 nt
Filed under: Entamoeba terrapinae
Lineage: Eukaryota; Evosea; Mastigamoebida; Endamoebidae
Description: tRNA-Ser
Rfam family: tRNA
About the family: Transfer RNA (tRNA) molecules are approximately 80 nucleotides in length. Their secondary structure includes four short double-helical elements and three loops (D, anti-codon, and T loops). Further hydrogen bonds mediate the characteristic L-shaped molecular structure. tRNAs have two regions of fundamental functional importance: the anti-codon, which is responsible for specific mRNA codon recognition, and the 3' end, to which the tRNAs corresponding amino acid is attached (by aminoacyl-tRNA synthetases). tRNAs cope with the degeneracy of the genetic code in two manners: having more than one tRNA (with a specific anti-codon) for a particular amino acid; and 'wobble' base-pairing, i.e. permitting non-standard base-pairing at the 3rd anti-codon position.
Source: RNAcentral